AGUGAACGCUGGCGGUAGGCCUAACACAUGCAAGUCGAACGGCAGCACAGUAAGAGCUUGCUCUUACGGGUGGCGAGUGGCGGACGGGUGAGAAAUACAUCGGAAUCUACUUUUUCGUGGGGGAUAACGUAGGGAAACUUACGCUAAUACCGCAUACGACCUACGGGUGAAAGCAGGGGAUCUUCGGACCUUGCGCGAUUGAAUGGGCCGAUGUCGGAUUAGCUAGUUGGCGGGGUAAAGGCCCACCAAGGCGACGAUCCGUAGCUGGUCUGAGAGGAUGAUCAGCCACACUGGAACUGAGACACGGUCCAGACUCCUACGGGAGGCAGCAGUGGGGAAUAUUGGACAAUGGGCGCAAGCCUGAUCCAGCCAUACCGCGUGGGUGAAGAAGGCCUUCGGGUUGUAAAGCCCUUUUGUUGGGAAAGAAAAGCAGCAGGUUAAUACCCCGCUGUUCUGACGGUACCCAAAGAAUAAGCACCGGCUAACUUCGUG
RNAcentral lists this ribosomal RNA (492 nucleotides) under uncultured bacterium. RNAcentral's name for it is "partial 16S ribosomal RNA". It matches the Rfam family "Bacterial small subunit ribosomal RNA", at positions 29 to 507 of the family's 1533-position model. The record is from RNAcentral.